CUUUCUUUUGGGUUGCACGAUGAGCUCAUUCCAUUUCAAAGAGUUGUAGGAGAAAUAUGGCUCACUUAGCUUUUAAAAUGAGGAUUCAAUAUAAUUAUGUCCCACCUUGUUCCACUCAGGAUUCUAUAUUUUAGAAUUAUUUAAGAUUCAUUGUCGUUCCCAAUGUAAAGCCUAAUGGGAAUGAUGGGUUGAAACUUUCCUACUACUGAAGACAAUAUCAUAGAAACAGAAAAUUAGUCAGAUUCAUUGUUAAGAAAUGAAUAAGCAUGGCUUGAAUUUUUCUUUUAUAAGAAACUUUCUACAUGUUCCUGACAAGUCCAAUGAUCUCUUUGAGGCUCAGCUUUCCAUUUGGUAAGUUCAGAUGGUGGGAAUUUUAUUUAUCAGGACUCUUUGGCUUCCAUGUUACAGAAUCCAACUAAAACCGAUUUGAGCAAAAGGGAGAAUUUAGAAGACCCAACAGUAGAAAUCCUGCUGGACUUGAGGUAGAACUGGAAAUGGAGACCUGAGCACCAUUAGGACUCUGUGUACUUCUUGCCUCUUUGACUUUUUGGGACAUACUAGGAAGGAACCAGACUUGGGUGAUGAAAAAGACACACUGUAUAAUUUAUACAUACGAUGCAACAUGCAGAAAGCUGCUUUUUCAACUGUUGAGAGGAGAGUCCUAACAAGAGGAAGUUGCCUCGUUAUGCUCUCCCCACUUCCUUCCUGUGGCUGUGUCAUUCCUGAGUCUGGGUCAUCCAGCUGCAUCCAGGAGUCUCAAAGGAUGCCGUGGAAGUGAGUCGAGGUCAUGACCUCUUCAAAGCCAUAGCUUUUAGUUUUGAUUUGUAUUUAAAUUAAUCAGAAAGUCUAAGAACUGACAUUAUCAAAGCUGACAUCUCA
This 879-nucleotide long non-coding RNA is filed under the name Canis lupus familiaris (dog). RNAcentral's name for it is "lncRNA (ENSCAFG00805029784.1, ENSCAFG00845023294.1)". The record is from RNAcentral. Lineage: Eukaryota; Metazoa; Chordata; Mammalia; Carnivora; Canidae.